CCAGACUCCUACGGGAGGCAGCAGUGGGGAAUAUUGCACAAUGGGGGAAACCCUGAUGCAGCGACGCCGCGUGAAGGAAGAAGUAUUUCGGUAUGUAAACUUCUAUCAGCAGGGAAGAAAGUGACGGUACCUGACUAAGAAGCCCCGGCUAACUACGUGCCAGCAGCCGCGGUAAUACGUAGGGGGCAAGCGUUAUCCGGAUUUACUGGGUGUAAAGGGAGCGUAGGCGGCGAUGCAAGUCAGAAGUGAAAGCCCGGGGCCCAACCCCGGGACUGCUUUGGAAACUGUGAAGCUGGAGUGCGGGAGGGGCAGGCGGAAUUCCUGGUGUAGCGGUGAAAUGCGUAGAUAUCAGGAGGAACACCGGCGGCGAAGGCGGCCUGCUGGACCGUAACUGACGUUGAGGCUCGAAAGCGUGGGGAGCAAACAGGAUUAGAUACCCUCGUA
Molecule: ribosomal RNA, 444 nt
Filed under: uncultured bacterium
Lineage: Bacteria
Description: bacterial SSU rRNA
Rfam family: Bacterial small subunit ribosomal RNA
Source: RNAcentral